Molecule: long non-coding RNA, 269 nt
Organism: Lagopus muta (rock ptarmigan)
Lineage: Eukaryota; Metazoa; Chordata; Aves; Galliformes; Phasianidae
Exons: 3
Source: RefSeq, a predicted model, not a curated record
AGCCCCUCCUGGCCCUUCUUCCCCCCCCAUCCUCAGCACGGAGCCCUCGGAUCCCGAGACUACAUCAACGUGUCGCCGCGGACGCCGAGCGCCGAGGACGUGCUGUAUUCCACCGUCACCAUCACAGAGCGCGGGGGGGGCGCGUCCCCGCGGGGUCCCCUCAGCCCCCCAGGAGGCCGCUGUCACCUACACGGACCUCCGGGGGAUGCAGCAUCCGAGCGACAGCUACGAGAACCUCCCUCACCAAUAAACGCCGGUCGUUCGUUGCC